Long non-coding RNA from Cannabis sativa, 178 nucleotides. RefSeq lists it as uncharacterized. The transcript has 2 exons. The record is from RefSeq and is a predicted model, not a curated record. NCBI's taxonomy places the organism in Eukaryota, Viridiplantae, Streptophyta, Magnoliopsida, Rosales, Cannabaceae.
GGGUCCGACCAUCGGACCCGAAGGUCCGACCAUCGGACCAUUUCUUCCUCUCUCUCCAAAAUCGCAAAAAAAAAAAAAAAAAAAAAAAAAAAAAAAUUCAAAGGUCCGACCAUCGGACCUUUGUCUUCUUCCCUCUCUCAAAUCGCAGGAAAAAAAAAAAAAAAAGUUUCAGAGAAAA